UACAGAGGGUGCGAGCGUUAAUCGGAAUUACUGGGCGUAAAGCGUGCGCAGGCGGUUAUGUAAGACAGAUGUGAAAUGCCCGGGCUUAACCUGGGAACUGCAUUUGUGACUGCAUGGCUAGAGUUUGGCAGAGGGGGGUAGAAUUCCACGUGUAGCAGUGAAAUGCGUAGAUAUGUGGAGGAACACCGAUGGCGAAGGCAGCCCCCUGGGUCAAGACUGACGCUCAUGCACGAAAGCGUGGGGAGCAAACAGG
Molecule: ribosomal RNA, 253 nt
Filed under: uncultured bacterium
Lineage: Bacteria
Description: partial 16S ribosomal RNA
Rfam family: Bacterial small subunit ribosomal RNA
Source: RNAcentral